AACAACAACAACAAAAACUUGUGGUGAAGGUUCUAAGACGCAGGAUGUCUUCCAGAUAAGAACCCACGAGUGACUCAUUGACUUGCACCGUCCUCCGAGGUUAUCAGCUCAUUACUUCCAUUAGUAAUGUGCCCAGGAGUGAAGGCUGAAGUCACCAUAGCAGAUGCUUAGGUCAACUAUUUUAAUAAAUUGAUUACUAGUUGUUAAAAUAUAUAUAUAUAUAUAUAUAUAGCAGCCACCUCCUAGUGCUGUUGUUAGGGUUAAACAAUCCUAUGGACAAGGUUUCAAACAGCCCCAGGCACAGGCUAUGGGCUCAAUGGUCUCCAGCUGCUGGAGUCCCUGCAACACAGUGUGCCACAGGAUAGAGCAUUAAAGGGCCUGGUAGAAACUGGAAAGACCAGGGUCUCCUUGGCAUAGCAGAUGGCCUAGGGGCAGGACCAGGUCCUCACAGCAGGUGCGGCAGGUGCCCCAUGCAUACUGGAGGAAGAAAGGACUACGUCUUUACACCACAGCACACUUCCAUGUUCAGCCACAGGCAUUCACGCUUUUGACAAGCCAUCAAAUGGCUUUUCUAUAGCAAGCUUCAUUAAAAUGGAAGCACAUUGCUCUAGUAUGCAGAUGGGGCCACUUUAUUACUUUUUAAUUUGUUUACAGAAAGCCCAUGUUUGGUGUACACCAUCUUUGCAAAUAGUAACAAAUGGGCAUGUUUGCUGCCUCCAAAGCUGUGUUGUCCCUGGAUAAAUGGACCAAAACCA
This is a long non-coding RNA of Nomascus leucogenys (northern white-cheeked gibbon), 755 nucleotides long. RefSeq lists it as uncharacterized. Lineage: Eukaryota; Metazoa; Chordata; Mammalia; Primates; Hylobatidae. The record is from RefSeq and is a predicted model, not a curated record. The transcript is spliced from 3 exons.